UCCCCAUCAUAAAAAUCCACCGGAUAAUACAAAUAUACAUUUAAAAUUCAAAGAUCUUGGCGGUGUCUUAUACAAUCAGGGGAACCUGUCCCUUAAUUCGAUAAUCCACGAACGCUCUAACCCCUCUCGAAUUACAGCCUGUGUACUGCCGUCGUAAGUAUGCCUCUAAAAGUCAGCAUACAAUAAUAAUUUAUCUACGUCAGGUCAAAGUGCAGCCAAUGAGGGGCUGGUGAUGGGUUACACACCUAAUUAAGGCUACCAUCUUCUGAUAAAAAUCAGAAUAAAAGCUGGACUUGAAAGUAAUGACACUACCAUAAUGUCAUGAAUAGGAAUCUAAGACAUGCACACAUCGCCCGUCACUCUCGUCGAAAGAUG
Molecule: ribosomal RNA, 375 nt
Filed under: Tubifex newaensis
Lineage: Eukaryota; Metazoa; Annelida; Clitellata; Tubificida; Naididae
Description: partial 12S ribosomal RNA
Rfam family: Bacterial small subunit ribosomal RNA
Source: RNAcentral